ACGUCUGCUCUUCCGAUCGGAACGUCUUCCGAAACUCCCGGCCCGUGGUCCUCCAGUGCGUCCACUUAGACCGCGUCGGGCACUACCAGAAUUCCAGAAAUGAGCUCACACAGAAAAGACAGAACAAACAGACAGACACUAACCGUGGCCAGUCAGGCUC
Long non-coding RNA from Leopardus geoffroyi (Geoffroy's cat), 160 nucleotides. RefSeq lists it as uncharacterized. The record is from RefSeq and is a predicted model, not a curated record. The transcript has 3 exons. Lineage: Eukaryota; Metazoa; Chordata; Mammalia; Carnivora; Felidae.